GAUGAACGCUGGCGGCGUGCCUAAUACAUGCAAGUCGAGCGAACGGACGAGAAGCUUGCUUCUCUGAUGUUAGCGGCGGACGGGUGAGUAACACGUGGAUAACCUACCUAUAAGACUGGGAUAACUUCGGGAAACCGGAGCUAAUACCGGAUAAUAUUUUGAACCGCAUGGUUCAAAAGUGAAAGACGGUCUUGCUGUCACUUAUAGAUGGAUCCGCGCUGCAUUAGCUAGUUGGUAAGGUAACGGCUUACCAAGGCAACGAUGCAUAGCCGACCUGAGAGGGUGAUCGGCCACACUGGAACUGAGACACGGUCAAGACUCCUACGGGAGGCAGCAGUAGGGAAUCUUCCGCAAUGGGCGAAAGCCUGACGGAGAAACGCCGCGUGAGUGAUGAGGGUCUUCGGAUCGUAAAACUCUGUUAUUAGGGAAGAACAUAUGUGUAAGUAACUGUGCACAUCUUGACGGUACCUAAUCAGAAAGCCACGGCUAACUACGUG
RNAcentral lists this ribosomal RNA (497 nucleotides) under uncultured bacterium. Its description in RNAcentral is "partial 16S ribosomal RNA". It matches the Rfam family "Bacterial small subunit ribosomal RNA", at positions 28 to 507 of the family's 1533-position model. The record is from RNAcentral.